RNAcentral lists this ribosomal RNA (517 nucleotides) under uncultured microorganism. RNAcentral's name for it is "bacterial SSU rRNA". It matches the Rfam family "Bacterial small subunit ribosomal RNA", at positions 9 to 521 of the family's 1533-position model. The record is from RNAcentral.
GAGUUUGAUCUUGGCUCAGAUUGAACGCUGGCGGCAGGCCUAACACAUGCAAGUCGAGCGGAUGAAGGGAGCUUGCUCCUGGAUUCAGCAGCGGACGGGUGAGUAAUGCCUAGGAAUCUGCCUGGUAGUGGGGGAUAACGUCCGGAAACGGGCGCUAAUACCGCAUACGUCCUGAGGGAGAAAGUGGGGGAUCUUCGGACCUCACGCUAUCAGACGAGCCUAGGUCGGAUUAGCUAGUUGGUGGGGUAAAGGCCUACCAAGGCGACGAUCCGUAACUGGUCUGAGAGGAUGAUCAGUCACACUGGAACUGAGACACGGUCCAGACUCCUACGGGAGGCAGCAGUGGGGAAUAUUGGACAAUGGGCGAAAGCCUGAUCCAGCCAUGCCGCGUGUGUGAAGAAGGUCUUCGGAUUGUAAAGCACUUUAGGUUGGGAGGAAGGGCAGUAAGUUAAUACCUUGCUGUUUUGACGUUACCAACAGAAUAAGCACCGGCUAACUUCGUGCCAGCAGCCGCCGU